This is an RNA transcript of Capsicum annuum, 917 nucleotides long. RefSeq lists it as uncharacterized. Lineage: Eukaryota; Viridiplantae; Streptophyta; Magnoliopsida; Solanales; Solanaceae. The record is from RefSeq and is a predicted model, not a curated record. The transcript is spliced from 4 exons.
UCUCUGUAAGUUUGGAUUUGAGUAGAGUAUCAAAUACUCUUUCUGUUCCAUCUGUCCGCAACAAUGGUGGUGACGUGCUGCCAUAUUCAAAGCUCAAUUUCUUUCUUCUAUGGUGGUGCAUUGGAGCAAAUAUCUUUCUAUCAACUUCACCUCUGUCAGAAAGGUGGCAAGGCUGUCGAUAGCACAGGUGUUGACUGUGAUAUCGAAGAGGCAGAAGUCAGCACUAAGGGAAGCAUACAAGAAUAAGAAGUACCUGCCUCUCGACCUUCUUCCCAAGAAGACCAGAGCCAUCCGGAGACUUCUUACAAAGCAUCAAGCAAUUGAAUCCUGAUCCUGAUUCUUAUGGAUACGUUGAUAAUCUUUUAAUAAUUGAAAGAGCUACAUAAUGAUCUGCUUUCUUUGGAUUAGUAUCAACAACCUUCUGCGCAAGAAUCAAUUCGUAAAGAUCUUAAUGAAAAUGAAUUGAAGUUUCUCGAUAAAAUUUGUGGUGACAGAAUCUACAGAUUUUACCGAGUUAACAAACAAAGAACCAUGGCUCUAAUCAACAAAGUUGGCUGUAAAACCAGAAAUGUUGUUUGGGAAGAGUGGAAAAGAGUGGCUAGGUAGCUUUGAAUCUGGAUCUAGCAGGAGUUUUAUGGUUUGUAAAAGUACAAAUUAGCUUUUCAGAAUGUGGAGGCAUUGAGAUUAAAGAGAGCUAGGACAAGGUUAGUUGGUCCAAAACGUUUACUCUUUUCGCUUAUCUUAAAAUUAUUUGUUAGUUUUUUUGGCAAAACUGGUUACUCUACUCAUUCUGGUAAUAUCCAGGAAGUCAAGUUAUUUUCUUUUCUCCUGUAAUAACAAGAUUUUCUUUUCUCCUGUUAUCUCUUUACUCUGUCAUAACUUUCAUUAUGAAAUAGGAACAUUUAAUAUAAUUCAUU